RNAcentral lists this ribosomal RNA (413 nucleotides) under uncultured bacterium. RNAcentral's name for it is "bacterial SSU rRNA". It matches the Rfam family "Bacterial small subunit ribosomal RNA", at positions 505 to 916 of the family's 1533-position model. The record is from RNAcentral.
GUGUCAGCAGCCGCGGUAAUACGUAGGUGGCGAGCGUUGUCCGGAAUUACUGGGUGUAAAGGGUGCGUAGGCGGGUUGACAAGUCAGAUGUGAAAUCCCAUGGCUUAACUGUGGGACUGCAUUUGAAACUGUUGGCCUUGAGUGCAGGAGAGGUAAGCGGAAUUCCCAGUGUAGCGGUGAAAUGCGUAGAGAUUGGGAGGAACACCAGUGGCGAAAGCGGCUUACUGGACUGCAACUGACGCUGAUGCACGAAAGCGUGGGGAUCAAACAGGAUUAGAUACCCUGGUAGUCCACGCUGUAAACGAUGGAUACUAGGUGUAGGGGGUAUCGACCCCUACUGUGCCGGAGUAAACACAAUAAGUAUCCCACCUGGGGAGUACGGCCGCAAGGUUGAAACUCAAAUGAAUUGACGG